This 387-nucleotide ribosomal RNA is filed under the name uncultured bacterium. RNAcentral's name for it is "bacterial SSU rRNA". It matches the Rfam family "Bacterial small subunit ribosomal RNA", at positions 29 to 416 of the family's 1533-position model. The record is from RNAcentral.
AUAAACGCUGGCGGCGUGCAUGAGACAUGCAAGUCGAACGGACGAUCGAGGCUUGCUUCGAUCGUUAGUGGCGGACGGCUGAGUAACGCGUAGGUGACCUGCCCCGAAGUGGGGAAUAACUGCCCGAAAGGGUGGCUAAUACCGCAUGUGGUGGUGUGUUCAAUCACACCAGUAAAGCCGCAAGGCGCUUCGGGAGGGCCUGCGUCCGAUUAGCUCGUUGGUGGGGAACGGCUCACCAAGGCGACGAUCGGUAGGUGGUCUGAGAGGACGAUCACCCAGACUGGGACUGAGACACGGCCCAGACUCCUACGGGGAGGCAGCAGGUCGGGAAUUUUGGACAAUGGGCGCAAGCCUGAUCCAGCCAUGCCGCGUGACGGGAAGAAGGCC